RNAcentral lists this non-coding RNA (48 nucleotides) under Schistosoma curassoni. The record is from RNAcentral. Lineage: Eukaryota; Metazoa; Platyhelminthes; Trematoda; Strigeidida; Schistosomatidae.
AUCUAUCUGACGAGUCCCAGAUAGGACGAAACGCUCAUCGAACUGGAU